UUUGUAACACCCCCUAACCCUAAACCGUCGCCAGAAUAGAGUUACGAGGCAUUACCGGUCAUAUCAGAUAAUUUACAAUAAUUCUUAAAUAAAUAUUAAACACAUUAAGAUAAAAUCAUAAAUUCAUAUAAUAUUUUAGUAAUUGACUUCAUUCAUUUUUUUUAUUUUUUUUUAAAUUUCGGCAGCAUUUCUGCUUGUUUUUACAUAAAACCCCCUGCAAUAAAAAACCAUUUCAUUUUCAAAUCACAACCAAUUCAUUUCACAUUCUCAAUUUCUAUUCCAAAUACUUUCUAAUCAACUUAAUCAUCAUAAUAUCAAUUUAAAUUUAACAAUAUACUAAAUCAAAUAAAUAUAGAUAAACUUCUUUCAUUAUAAUUCAUAAACUUAUAAUACUAACAUUUUCAACCGUUUAUAUUAAAAACAUAAUAACCUUUAUACACAUCCUAUGUACAUGCCACAUUACUAAAAGAAAAUAUACAUCACCAAAAAGUUUGCUAAAGUCGGGUCUGGCUUUGGAUGCUGGUUCAGUACUUGACUUCUACAACCUGCGCACGGAAACAACCGUACGCUGAGUAUGCAUAUACUCAGUGGUAUCACUAUAAUUCAAUUUAUAAUUAAUUACAGUAAACCACACACAUACUUUUCAUUACAAUUAUCACUACUAAUAAACUAUUCAAUCUUUUUAUAUUAUCAAUUAACUAUAUAUAUAAAUAUCAUUCUUAUUUCUUUAUUUCAAAUUUCACUUUUCACAUAUACUAUAUCAUUCGUGAUUGAUUUUAUCAGUAAAUUUAUUUCAUUUGUCCCUAUUAACUUGACUCGGACUCGGCGGAUACACGGAUUCCAACCAAACACACCAGUGAACAGUAAUCAAUAACGGUAGCAAUAACGGUAACAGUAACAGUAUUCAACACACAAAGUGCUGAACCUGUAACAGUAACGGUAACAGUAUUCGACACACAAAGUGCCGAGUCGGUAACAGUAACAGUAACAGUAUUCGACACACAAAGUGCCGAAUCAGUAACAGUAACAGUAGUCGGCACAUAAGUGCCUGAUCAGUAAGCCGGCAAAUACCCCGUACACUUCCAUAUCCUAUGGCAUGCCAACUAUAUCCGACUAGCCCGACUAGUUAAUAGGGUAUUUAAUUCACUUUUCAGUAUAAAUUUCCAUCUUAAUUCAGUAUCAAUUAUAAUUCCUUAUUUCAAUCGGUUUCACAGUAUUACAGUAAUUCUUUACUUCAGUAAUUUCAAAAUUCAAUGCAUUAUACAUAACAAUAUUCAAUAUUUUCACAAUUCACUCAAUAAUCAAAACAAUAUUCAGUAUUCCAUAAUUCGGUUCAGUAUCAGUUUCAAUUUCAUUACUACAUUAUAAAUUUAUUAUUUAUUAAACACUUGCCUUAAAAUACUUACCACACAUAAUUAGCAAAUUAAACACUUAAUAAUAAUAAAGUUUGAAUUAUAGUGAUACAAACCGAAAUUCCCGUGUCUAUUCCUCGUCCACUUUUUCUUUUCCUUUCCUCGUGGAUGCCUCAGGUGCGAUAUUAGCUACGAAAAAAAAUUAAGAUAAUUUUCAUAAUCAUUAGCAUAACACAACUUAAUUGCUGAAAUUUUUAUCUAACUUUUUCUUUAAUUUCAAUUUAAUCCUAAGUAAACCUAUAUAUUUUUCUUUCUCAAUUCAUACCUUCUUGCUACUCAAUUUCUUGCCAAACUCAUAUUUAACUAUCAAAUUUUUAUCAUAUUUUCAUAAUUUCGAAUUUGUUUCAAUUUAAUCCCUAAAAUUCAAAACUUAUAGCUUAGUUUACAAUUCAAUCCUUUAUUCAAUUCCAAUCAAAAUUUCUAUCAAAUAAACCCUCAAUUCCAUCAUUAUUCAACAUAAACCCUACUAAAAAAAUCUAUUAACUUCCAAAACCUCAACUUAUUUUCAACAAAACUUUGUUUUAAAACUUCUAAAACAUCUAAAUUAAAAGAAAAGGACUUGAUUAACUUACCAAAUUAAACUCUAAGCUUCAAAUCCCUAAUUUUCCCUUUUUAUUUUCUUUCUUUCUUUUUCCUUCCCCUGUUUCGAAUGACUCUCUGUUUCGUCUCUUUUUCUGUUUCUUUUUUUUUGUUCUUUUAU
Molecule: long non-coding RNA, 2112 nt
Filed under: Gossypium barbadense (sea-island cotton)
Lineage: Eukaryota; Viridiplantae; Streptophyta; Magnoliopsida; Malvales; Malvaceae
Description: long non-coding RNA (GBAR_LNC019474)
Source: RNAcentral